RNAcentral lists this ribosomal RNA (468 nucleotides) under uncultured bacterium. RNAcentral describes it as "partial 16S ribosomal RNA". It matches the Rfam family "Bacterial small subunit ribosomal RNA", at positions 28 to 507 of the family's 1533-position model. The record is from RNAcentral.
GACGAACGCUGGCGGCGUGCUUAACACAUGCAAGUCGAACGGAAAGGCCCUGCUUUUGUGGGGUGCUCGAGUGGCGAACGGGUGAGUAGCACGUGAGUAACCUGCCCUUGACUUUGGGAUAACUUCAGGAAACUGGGGCUAAUACCGGAUAGGAGCUCCUGCUGCAUGGGGGGGGUUGGAAAGUUUCGGCGGUUGGGGAUGGACUCGCGGCUUAUCAGCUUGUUGGGGGGGUAGUGGCUUACCAAGGCUUUGACGGGUAGCCGGCCUGAGAGGGUGACCGGCCACAUUGGGACUGAGAUACGGCCCAGACUCCUACGGUAGGCAGCAGUGGGGAAUAUUGCACAAUGGGCGGAAGCCUGAUGCAGCAACGCCGCGUGCGGGAUGACGGCCUUCGGGUUGUAAACCGCUUUCGCCUGUGACGAAGCGUGAGUGACGGUAAUGGGUAAAGAAGCACCGGCUAACUACGUG